CUACGGGUCGCAGCAGUGAGGAAUAUUGGACAAUGGGGAAAACCCUGAUCCAGCAAUGCCGCGUGAAUGAAGAAGGCCUUAGGGUUGUAAAGUUCUUUCACCCGUGAAGAUGAUGACGGUAACGGGAGAAGAAGCCCCGGCUAACUCUGUGCCAGCAGCCGCGGUAAGACAGAGGGGGCUAGCGUUGUUCGGAAUAACUGGGCGUAAAGGGUGCGUAGGCGGUUGUUUAAGUAAAGUGUUAAAGCCCUGGGCUCAGCCCAGGAAUCGCAUUUUAAACUGGACAGCUAGAGUGUGGUAGAGGAAAGUGGAAUUUCUAGUGUAGAGGUGGAAUUCGUAGAUAUUAGAAGGAACACCAGAGGCGAAGGCGGCUUUCUGGACCACAACUGACGCUGAGGCACGAAAGCGUGGGGAGCAAACAGGAUUAGAUACCCCAGUAGUC
RNAcentral lists this ribosomal RNA (439 nucleotides) under uncultured bacterium. RNAcentral's name for it is "partial 16S ribosomal RNA". It matches the Rfam family "Bacterial small subunit ribosomal RNA", at positions 339 to 795 of the family's 1533-position model. The record is from RNAcentral.